CCCUAAAUCCAGGAUGACCUCAUCCCAACAUCCAAAAUCAAUAGAGGAAACCAAAGAAAGGAGACACGUGGUCUGAAAUUAAUACAGCUGGUGAAGUCAGACUUAAAGCAGGUUCAUUUAUUUACAGUUGACUUGAAUAACUGAAACAUGGAUUUUAUAAUUAGAAUGUCUUGGAAAAAGCAACCUAAUUUACAGGUGGACACAAAAAGUACAUAAGAAAACCUCUCAGAUAUUAUAGGCUUUGAUUGCAGUGUGAAUGGCUGACUUGAAACUGACAUCAACUACUUCUUGGGGAAGACAGCUCAACACAAAAAGGAUGUUUGUAAGUAUGCCUUAUUUUAGAGAAGAAAGAAAUAAAUGACUCUUAUUCCUGACAGGGUGUAAUAUAUGUGUUAUUAUUAUCUUGAUCUGCUCCAGAUGAAUUAUUUCAACUACUUCACUCCAUAUCACAUAUUUUACAUUAACAAUUUGAA
Homo sapiens (human) is the source of this 473-nucleotide long non-coding RNA. RefSeq lists it as uncharacterized. The record is from RefSeq and is a predicted model, not a curated record. NCBI's taxonomy places the organism in Eukaryota, Metazoa, Chordata, Mammalia, Primates, Hominidae. The transcript has 3 exons.